This 433-nucleotide ribosomal RNA is filed under the name uncultured bacterium. RNAcentral's name for it is "partial 16S ribosomal RNA". It matches the Rfam family "Bacterial small subunit ribosomal RNA", at positions 29 to 507 of the family's 1533-position model. The record is from RNAcentral.
AACGAACGCUGGCGGCAUGCCUAACACAUGCAAGUCGAACGAGACCUUCGGGUCUAGCGGCGCACGGGUGCGUAACGCGUGGGAACCUGCCCGUAGGUUCGGAAUAACUCCCCGAAAGGGGUGCUAAUACAGGAUAAGGUACUCGGACCAAAGUUUUAUCGCCUUGGGAUGGGCCCGAGAUGGAUUAGCUAGUUGGAAGGGUAAAAGCCUACGAAGGCGACGAUCCAUAGCUGGUCUGAGAGGAUGAUCAGGCACACUGGGACUGGGACACGGCCCAGACUCCUACGGGAGGCAGCAGUGGGGAAUAUUGGACGCUGGGCGAGAGCCUGAUCCAGCAGUGCCGCGUGGGUGAUGUGGGCCUUAGGAUUGUAAAGCUCUUUUGCACGGGAUGAUAGUGACAGUACCGGGAGAAUAAGCUCCGGCUAACUCCGUG